UACGUAGGGAGCAAGCGUUGUCCGGAAUCAUUGGGCGUAAAGCGCGCGUAGGCGGCCCCGUAAGUCCGCUGCGAAAGUCAAAGGCUCAACCUUUGAAAGCCGGUGGAUACUGUGGGGCUAGAGUCCGGAAGAGGCGAGUGGAAUUCCUGGUGUAGCGGUGGAAUGCGCAGAUAUCAGGAGGAACACCGGUGGCGAAGGCGGGUCUCUGGGCAGUAACUGACGCUGAGGAGCGAAAGCGUGGGGAGCGAACAGG
This 253-nucleotide ribosomal RNA is filed under the name uncultured bacterium. RNAcentral's name for it is "partial 16S ribosomal RNA". It matches the Rfam family "Bacterial small subunit ribosomal RNA", at positions 524 to 776 of the family's 1533-position model. The record is from RNAcentral.